GAUGAACGCUGGCGGCGUGCCUAAUACAUGCAAGUCGAGCGAACAGACGAGGAGCUUGCUCCUCUGACGUUAGCGGCGGACGGGUGAGUAACACGUGGAUAACCUACCUAUAAGACUGGGAUAACUUCGGGAAACCGGAGCUAAUACCGGAUAAUAUAUUGAACCGCAUGGUUCAAUAGUGAAAGACGGUUUUGCUGUCACUUAUAGAUGGAUCCGCGCCGCAUUAGCUAGUUGGUAAGGUAACGGCUUACCAAGGCAACGAUGCGUAGCCGACCUGAGAGGGUGAUCGGCCACACUGGAACUGAGACACGGUCCAGACGCCUACGGGAGGCAGCAGUAGGGAAUCUUCCGCAAAGGGCGAAAGCCUGACGGAGCAACGCCGCGUGAGUGAUGAAGGUCUUCGGAUCGUAAAACUCUGUUAUGAGGGAAGAACAAAUGUGUAAGUAACUAUGCACGUCUUGACGGUACCUAAUCAGAAAGCCACGGCUAACUACGUG
Molecule: ribosomal RNA, 497 nt
Filed under: uncultured bacterium
Lineage: Bacteria
Description: partial 16S ribosomal RNA
Rfam family: Bacterial small subunit ribosomal RNA
Source: RNAcentral